AUGUGGCUGCUCAGCAGAUUUCCCGGGAAGUGGAUUCUUGAGAGGAGGGUGAGGUUGGCAAUGCAAGGUGGCAUCUGGCCAUCGAGGCCGGAGUUCUCGAGGUUCAGCGCAAUGACACGAGAUGCGUUGCAAGCAACGCCGGGCCAGCUGCAGAAAUGGAGGGAGUUGUUCUGCACCCAUGAGCCAAGGAGGGAGUUGGGGCUGCCGGAGAGGUGGAGCUUCAAGCAAAGGAGGGUUUCGAAGUCGGUGGCGUUGGAUGAAGAAGAAGCAGCGACAGCGAAGCUGAGAAGAGAGGUUACAACAACAAUGGCUAGGAGCCUUCUUGGUCUGUCACACAUGUUGUGCUUCUUCAGUAAGCUGUGUGUUUUUUGUACUACUGAUAUGCUGCACUUAUACAAAAAAGGAGAACGGGUGAGCUGCAAGCGCCUUCCUUGCACAUACUCUGGCAAAGUAAUAAUUUAA
Molecule: ribosomal RNA, 462 nt
Filed under: Triticum aestivum (bread wheat)
Lineage: Eukaryota; Viridiplantae; Streptophyta; Magnoliopsida; Poales; Poaceae
Description: partial small subunit ribosomal RNA
Source: RNAcentral